Molecule: transfer RNA, 68 nt
Filed under: Bradysia sp. XQM-2020
Lineage: Eukaryota; Metazoa; Arthropoda; Insecta; Diptera; Sciaridae
Description: tRNA-Glu
Source: RNAcentral
AUUCAUAUAAUUUAAUUAAAAUUUUACAUUUUCAUUGUAAACAUAAAAUAUACCUAUUUUUAUGAUUA